This 69-nucleotide transfer RNA is filed under the name Gastrolina depressa. RNAcentral's name for it is "tRNA-Val". The record is from RNAcentral. Lineage: Eukaryota; Metazoa; Arthropoda; Insecta; Coleoptera; Chrysomelidae.
CAAAUUAUAGCUUAGUAAAAGUAUUUUAUUUACAUUAAAAAGUAAAUUGUUUAAACCAAUUUAAUUUGA